This 107-nucleotide ribosomal RNA is filed under the name Neogale vison (American mink). The record is from RNAcentral. Lineage: Eukaryota; Metazoa; Chordata; Mammalia; Carnivora; Mustelidae.
CGUAGGGCCAUACCACCCUGAACACGCCCGAUCUCGUCUGAUCUCGGAAGCUAAGCAGGGUCGGGCCUGGUUAGUACUUGGAUGGGAGAAAACCACAGCCCUGACGC